RNAcentral lists this ribosomal RNA (432 nucleotides) under uncultured bacterium. RNAcentral's name for it is "partial 16S ribosomal RNA". It matches the Rfam family "Bacterial small subunit ribosomal RNA", at positions 338 to 795 of the family's 1533-position model. The record is from RNAcentral.
CCUACGGGAGGCAGCAGUAAGGAAUAUUGGACAAUGGUCGCAAGACUGAUCCAGCCAUGCCGCGUGAAGGAUGACGGCCUAUGGGUUGUAAACUUCUUUUGUAUGGGAAAUUGUACCAUAAGAAUAAGGAUCGGCUAACUCCGUGCCAGCAGCCGCGGUAAUACGGAGGAUCCAAGCGUUAUCCGGAUUCAUUGGGUUUAAAGGGUGCGUAGGCGGAAUGAUAAGUCAGUGGUGAAAUCUCAGAGCUUAACUCUGAAACUGCCAUUGAUACUGUCAAUCUUGAGUACAUUUGAUGUGGGCGGAAUGUGUCAUGUAGCGGUGAAAUGCUUAGAUAUGACACAGAACACCGAUUGCGAAGGCAGCUCACAAAACUGUACUGACGCUGAGGCACGAAAGCGUGGGUAUCAAACAGGAUUAGAUACCCUUGUAGUC